This 253-nucleotide ribosomal RNA is filed under the name uncultured bacterium. RNAcentral's name for it is "partial 16S ribosomal RNA". It matches the Rfam family "Bacterial small subunit ribosomal RNA", at positions 524 to 776 of the family's 1533-position model. The record is from RNAcentral.
UACAGGGGGUGCAAACGUUGCUCGGAAUCAUUGGGCGUAAAGCGCACGUAGGCGGUUCGUUAUGUCGGAUGUGAAAGCCCCUGGCUUAACCGAGGAAGUGCAUCCGAAACUGGCGAGCUAGAGUACGAAAGAGGAUCGCGGAAUUCCCGGUGUAGAGGUGAAAUUCGUAGAUAUCGGGAGGAACACCGGUGGCGAAGGCGGCGAUCUGGGUCGAUACUGACGCUGAGGUGCGAAAGCGUGGGGAGCAAACAGG